RNAcentral lists this ribosomal RNA (427 nucleotides) under uncultured prokaryote. RNAcentral's name for it is "bacterial SSU rRNA". It matches the Rfam family "Bacterial small subunit ribosomal RNA", at positions 355 to 774 of the family's 1533-position model. The record is from RNAcentral.
UCGAGAAUCAUUCACAAUGGGGGAAACCCUGAUGGUGCGACGCCGCGUGGAGGAUGAAGGUCUUCGGAUUGUAAACUCCUGUCAUCCGGGAGUAAGACCUGACGGUGAACAGCCGGCAGGGUUGAUAGUACCGGAAGAGGAAGGGACGGCUAACUUCGUGCCAGCAGCCGCGGUAAUACGAAGGUCCCAAGCGUUGUUCGGAAUCACUGGGCGUAAAGGGUGCGUAGGCGGUCUUGCAAGUCGGGCGUGAAAUCCCGGGGCUCAACCCCGGAACUGCGCUCGAUACUGCAAGGCUAGAGUACUGGAGAGGAGACUGGAAUUCUCGGUGUAGCAGUGAAAUGCGUAGAUAUCGAGAGGAACACUCGUGGCGAAGGCGAGUCUCUGGACAGUUCCUGACGCUGAGGCACGAAGGCCAGGGUAGCGAAAG